AAAGUUGCAAAGCACUUUGAAGAGAGAUGCUCUGAAAAAAGCGACGUGAAACCGAUGAGGUGGAAACGGACAGCAGCUGGCGUAUCGGGCCCGUAUUCAAUUGCGCGCCGUUGGGCUUUUUUGUUUACCGCGCUCCAGAAUUGGGUCGGUGACUUGAUUGCUUGGCGGUUUGUGAUGCAUUUGCGGGUAGAGUGCACCGAGGAGUUCGGAGCAGUGGUGUGAACUCGACUUUGAGGCCACUUCUUUAAUGGCGUGGUACCCGGGUCGGGGGAGUGCUAUUUGUUCUGGGCAUAUGUGUGGUGACGUUGGUAUCGGGCCCGCGUGGGCGCCGAGCUGGCUGUGGGUGGCGGUCGCAUGCGACACGUGCCAGCAAUCAGUUCGGUCCUAUUCGGGCUCACAUAGCGUUCAGCCUCGGUGUAAAAGCUGGUCAUCUGUCCGACCCGUCUUGAAACACGGACCAAGGAGUUUAGCGUGGACGCAAGUCAUUGGGCGUUGAAAACCCAAAGGCGCAAUGAAAGUGAAGGCAUCCCUUGUGGAGCUGAUGUGCGAUCCUGGUGACUGCGGUUGCCGGGCGCAGCAUAGUCCCGUCCUGAUCGCAUGCGAUGGGGCGGAGACAGAGCGUGUGCGCUGAGACCCGAAAGAUGGUGAACUAUUCCUGAGCAGGACGAAGCCAGAGGAAACUCUGGUGGAAGUCCGAAUGCGAUUCUGACGUGCAAAUCGAUCGUCUGACUUGGGUAUUAGGGGCGAAAGACUAAUCGAACCAUCUAGUAGCUGGUUCCCU
RNAcentral lists this ribosomal RNA (781 nucleotides) under Neodolichodorus sp. VN01. RNAcentral describes it as "partial large subunit ribosomal RNA". It matches the Rfam family "Eukaryotic large subunit ribosomal RNA", at positions 360 to 960 of the family's 3401-position model. The record is from RNAcentral. Lineage: Eukaryota; Metazoa; Nematoda; Chromadorea; Rhabditida; Dolichodoridae.